GACGAACGCUGGCGGCGUGCUUAACACAUGCAAGUCGAACGGAAAGGCCCUGCUUUUGUGGGGUGCUCGAGUGGCGAACGGGUGAGUAACACGUGAGUAACCUGCCCUUGACUUUGGGAUAACUUCAGGAAACUGGGGCUAAUACCGGAUAGGAGCUCCUGCUGCAUGGUGGGGGUUGGAAAGUUUCGGCGGUUGGGGACGGACUCGCGGCUUAUCAGCUUGUUGGUGGGGUAGUGGCUUACCAAGGCUUUGACGGGUAGCCGGCCUGAGAGGGUGACCGGCCACAUUGGGACUGAGAUACGGCCCAGACUCCUACGGGAGGCAGCAGUGGGGAAUAUUGCACAAUGGGCGGAAGCCUGAUGCAGCAACGCCGCGUGCGGGAUGACGGCCUUCGGGUUGUAAACCGCUUUCGCCUGUGACGAAGCGUGAGUGACGGUAAUGGGUAAAGAAGCACCGGCUAACUACGUGCCAGCAGCCGCGGUGAUACGUAGGGUGCGAGCGUCGUCCGGAUUUAUUGGGCGUAAAGGGCUCGUAGGUGGUUGAUCGCGUCGGAAGUGUAAUCUUGGGGCUUAACCCUGAGCGUGCUUUCGAUACGGGUUGACUUGAGGAAGGUAGGGGAGAAUGGAAUUCCUGGUGGAGCGGUGGAAUGCGCAGAUAUCAGGAGGGACACCAGUGGCGAAGGCGGUUCUCUGGGCCUUUCCUGACGCUGAGGAGCGAAAGCGUGGGGAGCGAACAGGCUUAGAUACCCUGGUAGUCCACGCUGUAAACGGUGGGUACUAGGUGUGGGGUCCAUUCCACGGGUUCCGUGCCGUAGCUAACGCUUUAAGUACCCCGCCUGGGGAGUACGGCCGCAAGGCUAAAACUCAAAGGAAUUGACGGGGCCCCGCACAAGCGGCGGAGCAUGCGGAUUAAUUCGAUGCAACGCGUAGAACCUUACCUGGGUUUGACAUGGAUCGGGAGUGCUCAGAGAUGGGUGUGCCUCUUUUGGGGUCGGUUCACAGGUGGUGCAUGGCUGUCGUCAGCUCGUGUCGUGAGAUGUUGGGUUAAGUCCCGCAACGAGCGCAACCCUUGUUCACUGUUGCCAGCACGUUAUGGUGGGGACUCAGUGGAGACCGCCGGGGUCAACUCGGAGGAAGGUGGGGAUGACGUCAAGUCAUCAUGCCCCUUAUGUCCAGGGCUUCACGCAUGCUACAAUGGCUGGUACAGAGAGUGGCGAGCCUGUGAGGGUGAGCGAAUCUCGGAAAGCCGGUCUCAGUUCGGAUUGGGGUCUGCAACUCGACCUCAUGAAGUCGGAGUCGCUAGUAAUCGCAGAUCAGCAACGCUGCGGUGAAAACGUUCCCGGG
Molecule: ribosomal RNA, 1343 nt
Filed under: uncultured bacterium
Lineage: Bacteria
Description: 16S ribosomal RNA
Rfam family: Bacterial small subunit ribosomal RNA
Source: RNAcentral